UGGGGAAUAUUGCACAAUGGGCGCAAGCCUGAUGCAGCCAUGCCGCGUGUGUGAAGAAGGCCUUCGGGUUGUAAAGCACUUUCAGCGGGGAGGAAGGCGAUAAGGUUAAUAACCUUAUCAAUUGACGUUACCGACAGAAGAAGCACCGGCUAACUCCGUGCCAGCAGCCGCGGUAAUACGGAGGGUGCAAGCGUUAAUCGGAAUUACUGGGCGUAAAGCGCACGCAGGCGGUUGAUUGAGUCAGAUGUGAAAUCCCCGGGCUUAACCCGGGAAUUGCAUCUGAUACUGGUCAGCUAGAGUCUUGUAGAGGGGGGUAGAAUUCCAUGUGUAGCGGUGAAAUGCGUAGAGAUGUGGAGGAAUACCGGUGGCGAAGGCGGCCCCCUGGACAAAGACUAACGCUCAGGUGCGAAAGCGUGGGGAGCAAACAGG
Molecule: ribosomal RNA, 429 nt
Filed under: Chloroflexota bacterium
Lineage: Bacteria; Bacillati; Chloroflexota
Description: Chloroflexi bacterium partial 16S ribosomal RNA
Rfam family: Bacterial small subunit ribosomal RNA
Source: RNAcentral